Molecule: ribosomal RNA, 200 nt
Filed under: uncultured eukaryote
Lineage: Eukaryota
Description: partial 18S ribosomal RNA
Rfam family: Eukaryotic small subunit ribosomal RNA
Source: RNAcentral
GCUCCAAUAGCGUAUACUAAAGUUGUUGCAGUUAAAAAGCUCGUAGUUGGAUUUCUGGUCGAAGCAGCCGGUCGGCCCCUAGUGGGUUUGUACCAGGCGCUUCGUCCAUAUUUGUAAAGAUUAUGCCUGUCAUUAAGUUGUUGGGUAUAAGAUUUGCAUCAUUACUGUGAGCAAAAUAGAGUGUUCAAAGCAGGCUUAGG